AUGAAGUUUAUGUUCACGUUUCAGAAUUUUCUUGUGAUUCUGCUUUUAUUGUGUUUUACAGUGUUUUCAAAGAUCUUAAAAAACUCUGGCUGUGUGGUUCAGUCGGAGGUCCUGAAUUGUGUGUGUAUCACUGAAGGCUUUCCUUUACCCACCAUCACAUGGCCGCUGUUGAAGAAACACACAGAGUACUCUGUCAUUACAUCUGUGUCAAACCACACAGUCAACAGCACCGUCAUCCUACCUGCAAAAGACCUCAGCAACACUUCCGUUGAGUGUGUCAGCAGCAAUGGACAUGGGGAAGCAAAACAAACCUUCACCAUCCUAAGAUCCAACACGUCGGAACAAGCGGGUAAAUUCAAUGAAAUAUUAAACAUUGUUUCACGGCUGGAAGUCAUCAUUGCCUUUUUGAUUGGGAUACUUCUUUCAGCAGUCCUUUGCUGUGUGGCCACACAAUGCCUCAGGUACAGCUUUAAAUCAAAUAGCUAAUUCAUAGUUUUGUUUGUGGAUAAUCUUCAUACAUAAACGCACAUUUGUUGCUGUUUUUAAAUAUUUUCUUUCACCCCAGAAAAAAUAAGAAGAACUCUGUAAAACUGGAUGAGACUCUGGAGAUGGUGACCAGCGAAGAGGAUCCACUGGUGUUGUGUGUGAGUGACGAGGCAGCGCUGAUCAAAUAAGAAUUAUUACCAUUACCUGUUUCUCGCCUCAAAGGUUUUCUUAAACAUAUUUUAAUGUAUUUAGCUGUAAAAUGAGUCAGUCGAGCCAAAAGCAAGCACCGCCCACCUGCCGGAGCAAACCUUCCCAUUUGUUAUUGGUCAGCUCACAGCCAAGCAGCUGAUAGGAGCCACUGAGGAUGAAGCAGCUGUUGCCGGAAAACUCAAGCAAGCACAACUUCUGUGCUCUGACUGAACGUACCGGGAGAGAGAGGUGUCGGGACCCUUUGUGUAGCUUUGCAGUGCAAUACAGACUGGUCUGAUUAACAUUAAUUUUACUUUGAUAAAAGCAGAUACUACAAUCAUGAGAAGUCAUCUGUUCGAGGCAAAGACACAAAAACUACUUCUGCAAAAUUGCAUUGUUCAUAUUUGCCUGUUUAGGCACAAUGUUCGCAGUGUCACUGCAGGGACAAUAAUCUUUCAUCUGCAUCGUGUGUUGACAUGAACAGUGUUUCUGUUCAUCUUUAUUCUCUAUGCCUUUAUAAAAAAAAAAAUGAAAUUAAUGAAUGGCAAUUUAAUGCUAUUAAAUAUGCCUUAUCAUUAAAAAUAAAAAGACUGGUAAAAAUAGAUUAGAAACGAGAAAGUCUAACUGGUCAGUAAUGUCAAUAUACCAGAUACAAAUGUCACAAUACACAAUUGAUGAAUGUAGCAGCUGCUGAAUGAGUUGUAUCAUUGACAUUGUACCUGACAGAUGGAUGCUGCUCAAGCAGUGGAAGAGGAUCAGACCUACCAAGAGGCAGCUGAAGGAGGAGGAGCUGUGGCAGCAGAGAGAGCAGCCACUGAUCUCGAUGGUGGACCCAAAGAUGUGGAGUACGCUAGCAUCAAUUUCUCCAUGUUGACAAGAAAGAGUCAGAGGGAGGCAGCAAAGAAGCAAGAGACCACAGAGACGGAGUACGCUGAAAUUAAGAAAGAGGUAAAAGAGGAAAGAGAUGACAAUGGAGGAGAGGAAGGUUGUGUGUUGGAGGGCAAAGAGGAGGAGGAGGCGCAACCUUGUGUUCCUAAAGAGGAGGAAGAGGAGGAUGUGGCAGUGUACUCCAAUGUGAAGGACAUAAUGGGUGAGAUUUGAGCACUGUUGCAUAGUGGAGUUGCGCUACGAUGAAUUCUUUGCUCUCAUCAGUUGUGAUGGAUUGAUGUACUGGAUUGACACACCUGUGAAUGAAUGGCGUCCUGUGAGCAGCUGUUUUCUUCAAACGUCACAUUCAGCAAGCGGUAAACUGAAGUGACUGAGACGCAUCACACCUCGACAUGUGGGAGGCUGUGCAAAGCCAUUCAUUCAGCUCAGGGUGGAAUGGAAGAGAAUUUCUUACUCAAAUGUUUUUGUGCUUUAAUGUGUUUACCGUUCAUAAACUUUCCAGAUAAGUUUGACCCACAUCAAUGAAAAGUUGACACCGGUAUUUUGGGACAACCACCUCUGCUCUGAGUGUUCUUUUGUUUGAUACAUUUUAUUUAACCAGGAUAAGCAUGGGUCUUAAGUGUCCCUCUGGUCAGCCCAAAGCUCUUUAGAGGCCCACAUUUCUCUGCCUCAGGUACAAAUGAACCUUCACGUUCACCGUGUAGCAAAGAGGUUUCUCUUUUUCAGCGUGCUCUUGGGAUGGCAAUGCUUUGUUAGACUGCUUUGGACCAGACUGGAAUAUCUCAACUAUGAUGGAUGUUCGUAUACAGACUUAAACCUCAAUGUUUUGAAUUUCUCCAUUCUGUUUUAUAUAUAUAUUAUUAUUAUGAAGAAUUACUGAAUUACAAAUUACAGCUCGGUAUGCCUUUUCUUUUUUUAGCUUUUCAUUUGAUCAGUGUUUUCAAACUUAUAACACAUUUAGCCCGAUUUGUCUCUAAAGGCCUGUUAGUGUUCUUUAGUAAGAAGUCAUACAUUGCUUCCCUUUUUUUAAUGUGUUACAGGAAUCAUCUUGACUCAAGUACUAAAAGUAAACAGUAUCUGGCACAUGUGUUUGUCUGAAUAAUGAAAUCUUUGAGUGGUCCGUUACCACGAAGCCUUUCUAACUACAGAACCUGUGAACACUGCAGAAUGUACCAGAAGUGAGUGUUCAGUAUGUGUAACUGAUGAGGCCAAAGGUGAAGUCAGUUUAUUAUCUAGCACCUUGAAGUCUCAACAGGAAGUCAUUGGAGAGAAUCAAGUGAUGCUUUAUUAGGCAAUGUUUAAGUGAAGAACCACUUCAGGGACUUUUCUGAGAACAUAAAUGUGUUACAAUAAACCAUAGUGUUAAAAAUAGAAGUUCUUUCUAAGAGGCUUCAUGCAGCUGAAACAGGAACUAAGAUUUAAAUACUUUUUAGUUGCAGGUUUUUAAUGCACUUAAUCUUUGAUGGAAGUUGUACAUAAUUAAACUAAUGAUUAAACUAAUGACUUUUACAAUGGGCCAUCAUUAUUUAACUGCCGAUAUUAACAAGUAAUACAGACCAUUCACAUGCAUGCACAUCACUCUGCGCGUAAUGUAUCAUGCCUACAAUGUAGAAGGAUAGUUUGUACAUAGAAUGUUUGGUUUCUUACAGUGACACAAUUUUCUCAAGCAGCCAUAUGGUACUUCCCCUUUCUCAGUUGUUCACCCCUUCACAGUCUUGUACCUGAUCUAAUAAAUAAAUAAAUAAAAUAAGACUUGGUUCACUUCACUCUUUAGUAUUUAAGUUGCACAUUAUCAACAUGAUAUAUUAAAUACACAUAUGAUAUUUUGGAGACUUUAGGUCCAAGAGAGGCAGUCUAAGUCAGAUCACUUGUAGAGAAGCUUCCUGGAAACUUGAUGUAGCGCAAAGAGGGAAGAAAGUGCAAAAGGAGGAAGAGUCAGUUCAGAGCUGAGAGACUCGGCAGAGAUCACUGUAGAGAGAAGAGGGAGAGAGAACGAGACAACAAGAGGUAAAACACUUCUCUUUUCUUCUUUUUUAUAUCAAAAUAUCAAGAUUAAAUUCAAUGAAAUUAAAUGAAACUGAAGAAGUCAUUCUUCCCUAACUGAUUGAAGUUUUGAGACUGCCUCUUUUUACUGGCUUUGAACUAGUGUGUGCAUUUAAUUGAGAUAGUCUGGGGUUGGGGGGUUGUAGAGGAAGCUGCUACAGAUAAUUGAAGUUCAUUUAUUCAGCAGCUUUCUGUAACAGAUAUUACAAAGUCUUUGGAAAUGACUUAAACUCACUCAGAUCUUAGCCACAUUCAUCAAUGUUACUUCCAACAAACGUGAAGAUAAAACAUCCUGUAUUUAAAUCUGAGCCGUCAACCGUGGAGGUGUUUUUGAAAAUGUUUUGUACUUCUGCAAGGAAAAGACACCGACUGUCGUAAUCAUCGAAUCAGGAUGUUUGUUCUGAUCUGGGCGACUCUUCUCUUCUUUAUCAGAGGCAUCGCUGCUGAAGCAGGUAUGCCUCUUCAUUAUAAUGUUAAGAUGCCAACAGUAAAUAUAUGAACUAAAAUAAAUACUUUUACAUGAUAAACGUCCUCAUUAGUAGCAUUCCUCACAGCAUCUACUGACCUGGAAACUGAUGAAUAUAAAUUGUUAUGCAAGUGAUUCUUGUUUAUCAAAGAUGUUCUGGGUAAAGAAAUGUUAAAUGCUGAAAUGUUGUUUACUCAACGCUGCUGACAACAGCUGUUUGAAAGACAAACGGUCGUCGUAUCCUUCCUUCACCAUUUAUUAAAUAUCAUAGUGUAAUGUCAUAUGUAUUGUGUAUUUAUAUAUCUCCUGUCCCCGUUUUUGUCUGACUGUUUUCAUCAACAGGUGCAUCACCAGGAGAGAAAAAACCCCCUGACAAAGGAUUCUCUAUCACUCUUAGUGAAGCAGAAAUAACAGCAGAGGCUGGACUCUGUGUUGUAAUACCAUGUUCUUUCAGUAGUACUUCAGGCUUUACACCCCAACACUUAGUUUGGUACAAAUGUGAACCAUUGGAAUCAAGAUGUAGAGAUUCUGACAUUGUAUUCCACACCAACAAGAAGAACAACAUUCAGUCCAGGUUUAUGGGAUGGAUUUCACUGUUGGAGCCUGAAGUGAGUCAGAAGAACUGCAGCAUCAUCAUCAACGACCUCACUGUGUCAGACUCUGGAUCAUAUCAGCUCAGAGUUAAUGGUGUUAAGAAUGAUGGGAACACAGAUGGAUAUACAUUCACUACAAAAUCAACUGUCUCUGUUAAAGGUAUGGAGAGCUACAACAAAUAUAUAAAGUGAAGAUGUUCAUGUGUGUGCCUAUGAACUGCACCAACAUAUUUGGUG
This 4902-nucleotide long non-coding RNA is filed under the name Cottoperca gobio. RNAcentral's name for it is "lncRNA (ENSCGOG00000018511.1)". The record is from RNAcentral. Lineage: Eukaryota; Metazoa; Chordata; Actinopteri; Perciformes; Bovichtidae.